This is a long non-coding RNA of Gallus gallus (chicken), 1708 nucleotides long. Lineage: Eukaryota; Metazoa; Chordata; Aves; Galliformes; Phasianidae. The record is from Ensembl.
CGCCAGGGGGCGCUGUUGAGCCGCGUUCGGUUGCCGGAAGUGGCCGAAAGGCUCCGAAGUUUUCCGAAGUGAUUCGGGCGGCUCCGAAUGGAACCGAAGGGUUCCGAAGUGCUGCUCGCCCGCCGGAAGUGGUCCGAUGAGACCGGAAGUGGUGCUUAAAACCACCCGAUGUGGUCCCGAGGGAGCCGAAGGGUUCCGAACGGACCGGAAGUGCUUCGAAAAGGCCGGAAGUGGCGCCCGGACUUCGCGAAGUGUUCCGAAAGGACCCGAAGUGAUCCGAAGUGAGCGGAAGUGCCCUCAUCUGUUGCCGAACUGUUCCGAAGGGACCGGAAGUGCCCCGAUCGCAUCCCGAAUUGUUCCGAAGGGACCGGAAGUGACUCGAAUUGUUCCGAAGAGACCGGAAGUGCCCGCAUCUGUUGCCGAACUGUUCCGAAAGGACCGGAAGUGCCCCGAUCUCAUACCGAACUUUUCCGAAGGGACCGGAAGUGAGCCGAAUAUUUCCGAAAAGACCGGAAGUGCCCAGAACUGAUGCUGAAUUUCUCCGAAGCGACCGGAAGUGCGCCGAAUAUUAACGGAAAGACCGGAAGUGGUCCGAUCUGCCCCCGAACGGCUCCGAAGCGUUCCGAAUUGCUCCGAACUCACCGGAAGUGCUCCGACGGGACCGGAAGUGCAACGAAAGAACCGGAAGUGCCUCGAAACCCACCCGAAGUUUUCCGAAUGUCCCCGAAAGCUUCAGAGGGGACUGGAAGUUGCCCGAGCAGACCGGAAGUGGUCCGAUUUGCCCCCGAUCUGCUCCGAAGUGUACCGAAGUGCUCCCGGGAGACCGGAAGUGCUCCGAGAUGACCGGAAGUAACACCAACCCCCCUCCCGAACUUCUCCGACGUAGUCCGAAAAGACCGGAAGUGGUCCGAAACCAUCCGAACUAUUCCGAAUGGACCCGAAGUCUUCCGAGAAGACCGGAAGUGGUUUUAAGGACCGGAAGUACCCCCCACCCCCCUCCGAACCGCUCCGAAUUGUUGCGAAUGGACCGGAAGCGGGCCGAAAUGACCGGAAGUGCUCCGAAAUCCUCCGAAAUGUUCCGAAUAUUCCCGAAGUUCUCCUCAUUCCCCCCGGACGGUUGGUAUGUGUUCCGGAAUUGCUCUUAAAGAAACGGAAUGGUCCCCAUUUCCUCUCCGAAGUGUUCCGAAGCGCCUCAAAGUGUGACGAAGUGACCGGAAGUGCUUCGAAGUCACCCGAACCCCUCCGGACCGGAAGCGGCCCUAUCCUUCCCCCCCCCAUCCCGCCCUUAAAAUGCCCGGAUGUGAACCGAAGUGACCGGAAGUGCCUCCGUUUCCCGCCUUUCGGACCCCCCCACCGAACUGCUCCGAAGAGACCCGAAAUGCCUCGAAGCUCUGAGAAAUGCUCGGAUGUUACGCGGAGAGACCGGAAGUGCCGCCAUGUUUUCUCGCGAAUUGCCCCGAAGCGACCGGAAAUGCUCCGAAGUUCACCCGAAGUUUUCCGAAGUUUCCCGAGGCGACCGGAAUGGCCCGUAAAGGCGGGCGGAAGUGUCCCGAAAAGGCGGGCGGAAGUGGCCCGUAAAGGCGGGCGGAAGUGUCCCGAAAAGGCGGGCGGAAGUGGCUCGAAAAGGCGGGCGGAAAUGGCCCGAAAACGCGGGCGGAAGUGGUCCGAAAACGCGGGCGGAAGUGGCCCGAAAAGGCGGGCGGAAGUG